Molecule: long non-coding RNA, 2276 nt
Organism: Oncorhynchus nerka (sockeye salmon)
Lineage: Eukaryota; Metazoa; Chordata; Actinopteri; Salmoniformes; Salmonidae
Exons: 6
Source: RefSeq, a predicted model, not a curated record
GCUAAGGGCUAUUCAACGCUGGUCUGACCAAUUGGAAUCCACGCUUUAAGAUUGUUUUGAUCACACAGACGGACAUGUUCCAGGGGCCUGUUGCACAAAAGUAGAAUUAAGACAUCCGGGAUUAAUGACUCAGCUGAGCUCAAUGAAGCCAAAACAUGUGCGUCCAGGCUUAAUUGGUUGCACAAAGACCAAGCCAGGAUGAGCAGACACGGAUUCAUUAAACCAGGUGAAACCAAUCCUGGAUAGGUGCGCGCUCACGGCUCACUCAAAUAGACCCCGCCACAGAUCACAGAUUAACUGAUUUACCAUGGCAACUAGAGCCGCGUACUUUUCCCCGUCGGAAGCACAAAUCCUCAUGGAGGCAUACGAGGAGGUAAAAGAUAUAAUUAAGAAGAAAGGCAACACCGCCACAGUGAUAAAGCAAAGAGAAAAAGCGUGGCAAAGUAUUGCAGACCGCCUGAAUGCGUAAGUAGUGCACAAUUACACACUCACCGCUCCGCUGAAACAUCACAAUUACAAUUCAAAUAUUUAAUUCACAUCUCCAAAAAUGCAGUUGUACUGUAAUUAUGAAACGGUUAAAUUUUUAAUUGAAAUGCACUGCAGAUAUGAGUGAAAUUGUGUAAAGUAACUCAAUCACACUGUAUAAAGCUAUGAUACAUUUUUUGAUAUUUUUACUGAAAACAAGACAAAAAUACCAAGUAAUUUUUGCAGUGUGACUCCAUUAAAUGUGUGUGUGUGUGUGUAGAUUAAACAUGAACGGGCCAAAACGGACAUGGCAGCAGGUCAAAAUCAAAUACAAGAACAUUCUGCAGAAUGGUAUGGUCCCUGACUAAUAUUUAACAAAGCACAAGCAUAUAUUGUACCCAGAAGGUGCCUGCUCACACAUUGUCUGUACUGUUUUAGCAGUGAAAAGAAUACCCACAGACAAGGCACGGGUGGUGGGUCACCAAAGGCUGACCUUACCCCAGCAGAGGACAUGGCCUUGGAGCUAAAUAAAGGCAGGCCCGUCUUAGAGGGGAUCCCUGGGGGAAAGAGACGAGCAUAGGUUCCUCCCAAGAUGCCACCCGCUUCAUUCAAGUGCCUGGCAGCACUGUGUUCCUGUUAGAGCCACCAGCACAAGCACCAGACGAUGCUGAUCCAGGUGAAGGCCCCAGUGCAGCAGCAACAGCACAUGAUGGAGACGAUGAUGAGGAGGAGACCAUCUCUCUGGAUUCCAGAAGGCAUGAGGACCCAGAUGCUAUACAGUGGGAAAACCAGCCUGGCAACAUAGUGCGUAUUAAUAAAAGGACACCACAUCCUGCCAAAUUCCAGCUGCGCUAAUUGUAUUGUGUUCACAGAGCUCACAAGCUAUCAGAAAGUUGUAUGGCAACCACCUCCGGCGCCAAAUAGAACUGGCAGACAUAGACAUUCAGUACAAGAAGAAAAAGAUGGAAAAUCUUGCACUGGAGUCCGAAAUAAAAAGAGGACAAUUAGGAAACUGGACCUUGAAAUAAAAAAAACUUGAGAGGGAGGUGAGAUAUGCCUUCAAUGUACACUGUAUGCUAACUGUAACACAAAUGUAUUAAUCAUUAUUUUUCUUUCCUCCCCCAGCUCCAAGAAGAUGACACAGCUCAAAAUAAAAAUUUGCAAUCAGUACAACCAAGUCGUCGUUAUAAGGCAUCGCCCUCUUUUGCCCACCCCCCCAGCACCAGGUGUGGCCACUAGCCUAUAUGAAGGCCCAAAAUUGUAUGUUCCUUUCUGCUCUGACAAUGGCAUGCCCAUUCGUGCGAGAUGUGGUGGAUGAAGAAACACUUGUGCUGAGGAGAGCCUUCAGGCGAGAAAGGGUCUUCAGGGACCGGUUGGACCCACUGGCCUUCCCUGAUGACCAUCUAUAUGAAAGAUACAGGUUUUCUGCAGAUGGCAUCAGGUAUCUAUGCAGACUACUGGGUCCCAGGAUUAAGCACCGCACUGCACGGAGCCAUGCACUGAGUGUGGAGCAAAUGGUUUGUGUGGCCUUGCGCUUUUUGCUAGUGGAGCCUUCCUGUACUCAGUGGGGAUGCAGAACAACUGAACAAGGCCACAAUUUGCCGCACAAUAAGGAGUGUGUGUCUGGCUAUCAAAGCAUUAGCAGAUGUCUUCAUCUCCUUCCCUGGCCACAGAAGACUCUGUGACAUCAAAGAGGAGUUCUAUAGGAUUGCAGAUGGUCUGCAAUGCUGACUGUGUGAUCAGCAAUGUUGUGGCAAAAUGGCCUGGCUCAGUCCAUGACUCCAGAAUCUUUCGGGCCUCUGAAAUCUAUC